This 1306-nucleotide long non-coding RNA is filed under the name Populus trichocarpa (black cottonwood). RNAcentral's name for it is "long non-coding RNA (PTRI_LNC002591)". Lineage: Eukaryota; Viridiplantae; Streptophyta; Magnoliopsida; Malpighiales; Salicaceae. The record is from RNAcentral.
CGCCCACUGGAUCCAUCUCUUGCGAGCAGUCUCCUUCCAGACAAAUAUGAGUUCAGUAGUUCAAACCCAUUUCUCUUCCAUAUCCCAAGUGCAGCUAGCUGCUAUGACAGUAUUAUUGACAAUCCAUGUGCGCCUCUCUUUCAAGCACAUACCUCAAGUAUUUUGUUUUUUUUUAUAAAAAAGAAGAAGAAAAAACGAUGCCUUCAAUAAUGCAAAUCCUGUAUCAAUCAACAAUCACUUUCACUUACAAAUGAUGGCAUGGCACGUAUACUCCAAUGAUUUAAAUUUCUAAGAACUCCAAUUGAUUAAUCAGAUAAAGUUUAAGAUGGUAGCUCUGUGUUCUUAAUAUUUCACUUUAAUUUGGUUAAGAGCAUCGGCUAAUGAGUAUGUUUUAUGUUUGGUUUUCUUCUCGAAUUAAAUGGGAGAUCUGGAGAUAAGAAUCAUGAGAUCGGGUAUGUUUCAAGGAGUGAAAAGAGCAAAGAAGGAGAUCCAAACAGCACACCACUGCAUCACAUCAAUGACAAGGAAACGAAAGGGAUUUUAGUAGAGCAUACCUUAUCGAUUGAUUCGAAACAAGCUAUCGAUUAAAGUCUCCUGAAAAAUGAUAAAUGGUUUGAUAAGUUUAACAGGUGGAUACCAUCAUCAUUCCAUCAAGUGUAAUCCCGAGAUUUCUAACACGAAGCUAACUACCAUUGAAUCUUCUAUUCUCAAAAUAAAUCCCGACGAUCAAAUUAAAAUCUUUUCAGUCAAGAAUUAGAAUGAUUAUCUACUCGUAAAUAACCUCAUUCACCAGAGAUUAUCUCUUUUUUUUCUAUCUUCGUUUAAAAUAUAUAGAUAUACUCCAACAAAAAGAAGAAAAAAUACUUAAUUGAAUCUAAAACUAAAAUAAUACCAUAAAAAAUAAACACCCGAACUGUACCGAAGAUGAGUUGUGAUCUGAAAGCAGGACUUUAGUGCCGCACAGUAUUCGACUGAUUCAGUGAACCACGAAUUACGGUUUUUGAUUGGAAAAUCUUGGUAUUUUCCUGCUCAAAUUGCUGGUAAUUCCAUCACAUAGUUGUUAUAAUAAUAUAAUAAUUACUAUCAAAGAGGGCAAAUGUUAUUGUGUAGAGAGAGAGAGAUCACGUGCUAAAAAAAGACUCGGCACGUUUAUUUGCUGUGGGCGUUGGUGAGAAGGGCACCAUCGAAGAAAAGAAGAUGAUGAAGGAACGACUAGAUUUGGCCUUGAUCGUAGCAAGCAAAUGCUACUACCUAUUAUUUGUUUUCCUGUGUCGUUUUUGGCUUCUUCUUUUUUCAUCGACAAAAC